Molecule: long non-coding RNA, 1358 nt
Filed under: Fragaria vesca (wild strawberry)
Lineage: Eukaryota; Viridiplantae; Streptophyta; Magnoliopsida; Rosales; Rosaceae
Description: long non-coding RNA (FVES_LNC004066)
Source: RNAcentral
UUUCAUACUUUGGUUAUGUUCCUUGGUUUAACGUUAGUUCUUGCCUUGUUUGGCUCAUUAAAUUAAUCUCAUACUCUAUUUUGAUACAGUGUGAAAUGAUAGUUCCUAGAAUUAGGUUAAUUUUGUGAUUCAGACAAACCUAGCUUCUUUCUUCUGGGAGCAGAACUACGUACGGUGUUCUAAAACUGGCAUGGCCGGGAUGCAUGUGCAUGUUUUUUUUCAAGUAAUCUAAUUAGUAAACUACAUAUUAAGUACUAACCAAAUUUUAUUUUACAAAUACAUCCUUUACCUAUUUUCUUAUACAGUUAAGGACAAAAAAUAAUAAAUUAGGACAAUUUAAUGUGCACAUGUCAUCUGUCAUUACAAUUUUACUAGAAUACCCUUCAAUACAUAUUUUACUGCUACUGUCAACAGAAAUGUGCAAUGUGCUACUGUCAACAAAAAUGUGCUACUGUCGAUCAAUAGGUGCUACUGCCGAUCAAAAGGUGCUAUUGCAGAUGCUAUUGCAAUUUUUUCUGGAAAUUCUCCAAAACCAAACAAACAUGCUACUAUCUAUUUAGAAUCUGCUACUGUCUAUUACUGUCGACUCCAAAGCUGCUACUGUCUAUUAAUGUCGACUCCACAGCUGCUACUGUUGAAUUUUACUACUCAUCUACAAAUUUACCCUUCUAACAGUAGCAGAAAAUUACCCUUCCAACAACAGUAGCAGAAAAUUACCCUUCCAACAAAUCUCAACACCAACAAUAACAACUUAUCGUUCCAAUAUACCUUAGUUACAACAAAUUAUCCUUCCAAUCUCAACAGUAGCAGAAAAGGACAAACACACAUAUACAAACAAGCUUUGAUCACCAUCAAUCCAUCAUCCCUUUUUCUUCUCGACAAAAACCCUAACCCUAACCCUAACCUGACCUGCCGCCGACCCGUUGACCCGACCUGAUUUUUGCGACCAACUCCGGCAGACCUAGUCGAUGGCGACUAUCAGAUUAUUUUCCUCUCUUUGAUGCGACCCUCCCUCUGUCAAUGGAUCGUGCCAAUUCAAGCCGGGUAGUGAGUUGGAGCUUCGGCAGUGGGACGACGGCGUCGUUGGCCUUGGAGUCCUCCUUUCUCCUCGAUCUAAUCUGCCACUCCGCCUAUCAUAGAAGCUACCAGAACAAACCGCAGCCUCUGAAUCCACCGUCCAAGGCGGCCGUGGAGUCGUGGCAUAGAUCGGUGAGCUUUGCUCGCAUGCUACUCCGACGAAGUCUCUGGCCAGUUCUGGAACGUCUUUAGGCACCGGCAUAGGCGACGCCGGGGUCGAGCUCUGAUCUAGAGAGAGAGAGAGAGAGAGAGAGAGAGAGAGAGAGAGAGAGAGAGAGAGA